UACGUAGGGGGCUAGCGUUGUCCGGAAUCAUUGGGCGUAAAGCGCGUGUAGGCGGCCCGGUAAGUCCGCUGUGAAAGUCGGGGGCUCAACCCUCGAAUGCCGGUGGAUACUGUCGGGCUCGAGUACGGGAGAGGCGAGUGGAAUUCCUGGUGUAGCGGUGGAAUGCGCAGAUAUCAGGAGGAACACCAAUAGCGAAGGCAGCUCGCUGGGACGUUACUGACACUGAGGCGCGAAAGCGUGGGGAGCGAACAGG
RNAcentral lists this ribosomal RNA (253 nucleotides) under uncultured bacterium. RNAcentral describes it as "partial 16S ribosomal RNA". It matches the Rfam family "Bacterial small subunit ribosomal RNA", at positions 524 to 776 of the family's 1533-position model. The record is from RNAcentral.